This 424-nucleotide long non-coding RNA is filed under the name Volvox carteri. Its description in RNAcentral is "long non-coding RNA (VCAR_LNC002190)". Lineage: Eukaryota; Viridiplantae; Chlorophyta; Chlorophyceae; Chlamydomonadales; Volvocaceae. The record is from RNAcentral.
GCAGCAGCCAACGGUCAACUGUACGAUAGCCCAACCAUCUCCGACCGCGACAUUUAACCAGUAACCGGCGCUGCCGUACUGACCUGCUGAGGUUUCCAGCAGGGGUCCAAACCACGGCCCUCAUCUUGUUGCCCUUCCGUACGAGGAAUCGGUACCCGGUGCCCGCGCUACCCGGGCCGUCGAGGCGAGACGCCGGAAUCGCCGCCGGCAGACAGCCUUCCCCAGCGCCGCCGCCGCCGCCCCUGCCGCUGCCGCCACCUUCGGACGCGUCGCCACCAGCACCCAGGUCGUGCCCGCUGCCGCUCCCGCUUCCCGCUGCGACGUUUGGAUCUAAGCCACCACCAGCAGCACCACCAGCACCACCAGCACCAGCACCACCGCCCUCAGCAGCGGCGGCGGCAUCAGCAACAGCCGCAGCCGCCUG